RNAcentral lists this transfer RNA (65 nucleotides) under Opamata lipcowa. RNAcentral describes it as "tRNA-Leu". Lineage: Eukaryota; Metazoa; Arthropoda; Insecta; Hemiptera; Cicadellidae. The record is from RNAcentral.
UCUAAUAUGGCAGAAAAAUGCAACAAACUUAAGACUUGUCUAUAAAUAAAAUUAUUUUAUUAGAA